This is a non-coding RNA of Podarcis muralis (Common wall lizard), 292 nucleotides long. The record is from RefSeq and is a predicted model, not a curated record. NCBI's taxonomy places the organism in Eukaryota, Metazoa, Chordata, Lepidosauria, Squamata, Lacertidae.
CACGUGCGUUUUAUUUGCCUUUAUUCCCCGCCCCUUUCCCCCUGCAAGUUGCCCGCCCAGCAUGGUAUCCUCACGCCCAGUUUCAUCCUCACAACGACCCUGCGAGGUUUGUCAGCUGAUUGUCUCCUGUUCAGUAUUACAUACUGCUGAGAAAGCUGUAUUGAUGCUGCAACUGCCUCUUCUGCACCAAGGAGUGGGACUGAAAAGGAUCCAGCCCACUGACCAGAUCUGAAUUUCAUUACAUUGGACAUAAGAGGAUUCAUUUGUGCUUUGUUUUCACCAAGGCAGCAGA